CCUACGGGAGGCUGCAGUGGGGAAUAUUGCACAAUGGGGGAAACCCUGAUGCAGCGACGCCGCGUGAGUGAAGAAGUAUUUCGGUACGUAAAGCUCUAUCAGCAGGGAAGAAAUAGCGACCUUUGGGUCGCCAGACGGUACCUGAUUAAGAAGCCCCGGCUAACUACGUGCCAGCAGCCGCGGUAAUACGUAGGGGGCAAGCGGUAUCCGGAUUUACUGGGUGUAAAGGGAGCGUAGACGGCAGCGCAAGUCUGAAGUGAAAUGCCGGGGCUUAACCCCGGAACUGCUUUGGAAACUGUGCAGCUAGAGUACGGGAGAGGUAAGUGGAAUUCCUAGUGUAGCGGUGAAAUGCGUAGAUAUUAGGAGGAACACCAGUGGCGAAGGCGACUUACUGGACUGUAACUGACGUUGAGGCUCGAAAGCGUGGGGAGCAAACAGGAUUAGAUACCCCAGUAGUC
Molecule: ribosomal RNA, 458 nt
Filed under: uncultured bacterium
Lineage: Bacteria
Description: partial 16S ribosomal RNA
Rfam family: Bacterial small subunit ribosomal RNA
Source: RNAcentral